Molecule: transfer RNA, 73 nt
Rfam family: tRNA
About the family: Transfer RNA (tRNA) molecules are approximately 80 nucleotides in length.
Source: Rfam
GGUCCCGUGGUGUAGCGGUUAACAUGCCUGCCUGUCACGCAGGAGAUCGCGGGUUCAAUUCCCGUCGGGACCG